This 472-nucleotide ribosomal RNA is filed under the name uncultured bacterium. RNAcentral's name for it is "bacterial SSU rRNA". It matches the Rfam family "Bacterial small subunit ribosomal RNA", at positions 355 to 825 of the family's 1533-position model. The record is from RNAcentral.
UCGAGAAUCUUCCGCAAUGGGCGAAAGCCUGACGGAGCGACGCCGCGUGUAGGAUGAAGGCCCUCGGGUUGUAAACUACUGUCACGGGUUAUGAAUGUGCAUAUGUUAACAGCGUGUGUAUUGACGUAAGCCCGAAAGGAAGCACCGGCUAACUCUGUGCCAGCAGCCGCGGUAAUACAGAGGGUGCAAACGUUGUUCGGAAUUACUGGGCAUAAAGCGCGCGUAGGCGGCGACGUAAGUGUAGGGUGAAAUCCCACGGCUCACCCGUGUGAAUUGCCCCGCAUACUGCGUUGCUUGAGUGUGGUAGGGGAGAGCGGAACUCCUGGUGGAGCGGUGAAAUGCGUAGAUAUCAGGAGGAACACCGGUGGCGUAGGCGGCUCUCUGGUCCAUAACUGACGCUGAAGUGCGAAAGCUAGGGUAGCGAACGGGAUUAGAUACCCUCGUAGUCCCUGAGCGGGCUGGCAAGGCGCAU